CCCCACGUGCUCGGGACAACCGCGUGGUUCCAUGCCUGUCGCAAACCUCCAGAUCAGCGUCCGUCGUAGCCGCGAGCGUGGAGCCAUGGAGAAGGAUGACAGACUACAACACCAAGCUAUGGAGCUCAAGUCACGCGUCAGCACAGAUAAGUCCUGAUCAUCUCCCCAUUCUGCCCUCAACAACAUUGUCCUGCUCAUCUUCCCCUUUUGCCCUCAACAACGUUCCAGGCAAGAGGAGGUGCUCCACUGAUUAGAGGCGUUCGCGCGGAGGUUUGAUCUGCUCUGGCUGGCCCGAUUAGAUGGAGAUGCUCAUUGUACAACAUGUGAUCGCAUUAGGUUUUAGGGUUUGUGAUCCUGAGUCUGUGCGCUAGGGAGAUGCAAGGCCAUUUGUAGAGGAAGCUGUGCUGCAAGUAUCUGACUGGGGUUUCAACUUAUCUGACAUCCAAAUGCAGAAGAAAGAGGCUCAAAGAUUAUUUGAACUCAUCAAGUCUCUGUUCAAUCAGUCUAAAAGAGAGUGGGUGGGAUUUCUGGGCCCAAUCCAUAUAUGGCAGAAGAUGUUUUCGUUUAGGUUGCGAACACGCAUCUGCAGAGAUAAAAAAGGAGUGCCAUCAAUGACAGCCACAAAUUGGGGCAUGAAGUGGGACAUAACUCCUCCAACAAGGAUUAGGCAGGCUAUGGAGAUGCAGGCUGAAGUAGAAAGGAGAAAAUGCGCUCAAGUCCUUGAAUCAGAAGGGAAGAAACAAGCCCAAAUCCUUGAAUUAGAAGGGAAGAAAACUGCCCAGAUCUUUGAAUCUGAAGGUGACGACUUCAUAACCCUUUUUAUCUUUUAGCUCAAUCAGGAGGUUCACAGUGCCAGGUCUUCAUUUGAGCAAGCUCAUUUCAAUCUGUGCAAGGCACCUAAUCAGGACAAUCAACAUGAGGCAUCAUCUCAGAAGAUAGCUUAUAAUAAGCAUGGAAAAAGCAUGGAUUCUUAUGUUGAAGUAGUCGAGGUUGAGUGAGCUCUACGACAUAAAGCAAAAUUGGAAAGGCACCAACGCACAGCUGAGCGAGCGGCGAAAGCCCUUGCUGAAAAGAACAUGCGGGAUAUGCUGGUGCAGAGGGAGCAUGCUGAGAAACAUACUGGCUGAAUUUCUUGAUCCUGAAGUCAAGAGAUGGUCAAAUGGAAAAGAAGGAAAUCUGUGAGCAUUGCUGUCCACAUUGCAAUAUGAGGAGCAUAAGGUGAUCGAGGCGCAGAUCAGGAUGUGGCAGCAGGAGGACGAUGCAGAGAUGAUGAAGAACAAGCGAACUGCAACUUUGGGUGACGUAGUAGCAUCAGCACGAGUUGAUUCGUGGAAUACCCAUGGUGCAUCAAUAGUAUGUGUGUAGAACUAUGGAUUUUCCAUGUGUUCUUUUUUCCCAUGAAUUCUGUUGUUUGAUGUUGUUCAAUCGCUGACCCUGUUUGUUUUGUUGAUAGUUGCAAGCAGUUAUGGUAGUUAUGGCAGGAUCGCUGGUCACCAUCAUCUAAGAAAAUUAUAUGUGGUAUCUUCUAUGGGUUUGUAGGUGUAGGCAUGCUUUUAUGUUACCGCCAAUCUAAAUUUUUACCUACUUUUAAUUUUAUACUAAUUUUAUAGAGUUAAAAUACUUGAGAAGGUAUUGAAAUCUAACCUGCACCUCUUGAUAUGCCCUAGAUCUAACAUGCACCUCUUGUGAUAUAUAAAAACCUGACCUGUUUUGAGACCUCUUGCAGAUUUUUGUGUGUAGGGCCAAGAAUCGAUAUACAUGCUUGGAUUCAGGGAGUCAGUGCUACGCUGAAAGAACUUAAGGUCUGCAUUCAAUCCCGCAAAUCUAUAUCCCACCUAAUAUCUAAUUGGUGAACUUUAUUAUUUUUCCAAGAAACAAUGAACUUAAGUGAUGAUUCUCUGUAUUAAGGCCUUAGGACUUCUCGUUUUCUACUCUCUAUGUCUAGCCGUAUGGGUUCAGUGUGGGGCUGUUCGAAUGGGUGAUCAAGAGGUGAUUUGUGUGGUUUUGUCAGUUCCGAGCUUCUAUGCGUGACAUUUUGUAACUCAGAGUUUUCUUGCAGGGCUUGGAUGAUUAUCUCUACGGUAGGGGUGUGUACAUCAACACUUUUAGCUCUACUGGUCCCAUUGCUUUCAGAUCAAAUGAAGCUUUUCUGUUCUCGCCAUGGAGUAUUCCAUGUGCCUUGUCAGUUUUGAUGUUCUCGCCAUGGAGUAUUUCUAAAAAUAUUGUGUUCAUUUAGGGACUAGAUGACAGCCACACAAAGGGCGAUAAGGAAGAGGGACCCAGUUUGGAGGGCUUAGAGGGGUAGACAACUUUGGUGGCGCAUAAGUGACCAAGAACUACAUAAAGAAUGGGGACAAAUGGAAGAACUUUUGAAGGGCAUAAACCAUUUGAAUGAUGCUGAUCAUUUUGCUCUCAUGAAUGAACGGGUGUGACCCUAGCAACAGUGCGACUUUCUCGUACCGGUCUUCACAGAGCGCAUGCGCAACCUCGGCAUAGGGUAGUGGUGAAAUAGUAGUGGUGAUGGUAAUGAUGGUUGCAAUGUAGUGGUGAAAUAGUUAGAUUAAAAUAACAAAAUUUAUGUAAGAAUAGGAUCAUAAAUAGAUUACAAAAUCUUUUUACAUUACAAUAUAACACAUAUUUAUACACAAGUUAUCAUGAUUAUAUA
This is a long non-coding RNA of Zea mays, 2665 nucleotides long. RefSeq lists it as uncharacterized. The transcript is spliced from 10 exons. Lineage: Eukaryota; Viridiplantae; Streptophyta; Magnoliopsida; Poales; Poaceae. The record is from RefSeq and is a predicted model, not a curated record.